GCUGGAAUAGCUCAGUUGGCUAGAGCGUGUGGCUGUUAACCUCAAGGGCGGAGGUUCAAGCCCUCCUUCUAGCG
This 74-nucleotide transfer RNA is filed under the name Populus tomentosa. It matches the Rfam family "tRNA". Rfam says of the family: Transfer RNA (tRNA) molecules are approximately 80 nucleotides in length. Their secondary structure includes four short double-helical elements and three loops (D, anti-codon, and T loops). The record is from Rfam by way of RNAcentral. Lineage: Eukaryota; Viridiplantae; Streptophyta; Magnoliopsida; Malpighiales; Salicaceae.